CGCCGCUGGGCUGAGCCCCGGCAGUGGCUGCGGCGGCGGCGGCGGCGGCGGGCGGCAGCGGAGGCAGCUGCCGCCUCUGUCCUCGGAUCCGCUCCGCUCUGCUCCCUGGUGUGUUGAUUCUUCCCCCAGCUGCUGCCUAAUGGAGUCCAGGCGCUCGCGUCACAGGAAAUGCCUAUACUGCCCUCCUCACUCACUUCCGGUGGCAGGCCACGUCAUGCUGAACAAGAGCCGAGAAGUAGAAUCGCCAGUGUCAAGCCGUCCACGUUGUGGGAUGCCCACUGUUCCCCCAGGAUCACUCAAGACCCUGUGACUUGUGGUCACUGAUGAGUGGACCAAGUGAAGUGAUCCUCAUGGAACACCUUUCCUGAAGAGAUGAUGAUGGGGCCAUUUGACAUGGGACACAGCAGGUGCUGGAAGAAGCACAUAUUUUUAGUGACAAAGACUGUGACUAUCCUGCCUCCUGGUUAUAAAGCAAAGCCAAACUGGAGAGAAGACCAGUGCCAGAGCCUUUAUUACUAAAAGGCACAUGCAAAGUGCUGUAAGAUUUCACAGGAUGGAGAGAACAUCUGUGGCAGUGGACAGAGUCGUGAGUGACCACAGAAGGCUUUCUGGAGGCAGGACUUGAGGGCCUUUGCCUCAGACAUGCAUACGGCAGGAGUGUGAGAUCUAUGGAGUAGGCUCACGUCAUGGAGCAAGGAGGAUGGCAGGGGCUCCAAUGAUGAUGUCUGCGUAAGAAUUCCCAUUUAAGAUCUUUCCAAGCACAAGAGUCAUGGCCCAAUGGCAGAGUGUCCUAUGCCCACGAAUAAAUCAAGGACGAAGAAGACGUUUUUGGAACCAGCAUAGUUUCUGGUAGGAUCUUUGCCACUACUUAAAAAAAAAAAAA
This 883-nucleotide small RNA is filed under the name Pan troglodytes (chimpanzee). Its description in RNAcentral is "processed transcript". The record is from RNAcentral. Lineage: Eukaryota; Metazoa; Chordata; Mammalia; Primates; Hominidae.